Molecule: ribosomal RNA, 253 nt
Filed under: uncultured bacterium
Lineage: Bacteria
Description: partial 16S ribosomal RNA
Rfam family: Bacterial small subunit ribosomal RNA
Source: RNAcentral
UACGGGGGGGGCAAGCGUUGUUCGGAAUUACUGGGCGUAAAGGGCUCGUAGGCGGCCAACUAAGUCGGAUGUGAAAUCCCCAGGCUUAACCUGGGAACUGCAUCUGAUACUGGAUGGCUUGAAUCCGGGAGAGGGAUGCAGAAUUCCAGGUGUAGCGGUGAAAUGCGUAGAUAUCUGGAGGAAUACCGGUGGCGAAGGCGGCAUCCUGGACCGGCAUUGACGCUGAGGAGCGAAAGCCAGGGGAGCAAACGGG